RNAcentral lists this ribosomal RNA (2934 nucleotides) under Bacillus amyloliquefaciens. RNAcentral describes it as "bacterial LSU rRNA". It matches the Rfam family "Bacterial large subunit ribosomal RNA". The record is from RNAcentral. Lineage: Bacteria; Bacillati; Bacillota; Bacilli; Caryophanales; Bacillaceae. RNAcentral also lists the same sequence under 1 other name.
CGGUUAAGUUAGAAAGGGCGCACGGUGGAUGCCUUGGCACUAGGAGCCGAUGAAGGACGGGACGAACACCGAUAUGCUUCGGGGAGCUGUAAGCAAGCUUUGAUCCGGAGAUUUCCGAAUGGGGAAACCCACCACUCGUAAUGGAGUGGUAUCCAUAUCUGAAUACAUAGGAUAUGAGAAGGCAGACCCGGGGAACUGAAACAUCUAAGUACCCGGAGGAAGAGAAAGCAAAUGCGAUUCCCUGAGUAGCGGCGAGCGAAACGGGACCAGCCCAAACCAAGAGGCUUGCCUCUUGGGGUUGUAGGACACUCUGUACGGAGUUACAAAGGAACGAGGUAGAUGAAGAGGUCUGGAAAGGCCCGCCAUAGGAGGUAACAGCCCUGUAGUCAAAACUUCGUUCUCUCCUGAGUGGAUCCUGAGUACGGCGGAACACGUGAAAUUCCGUCGGAAUCCGGGAGGACCAUCUCCUAAGGCUAAAUACUCCCUAGUGACCGAUAGUGAACCAGUACCGUGAGGGAAAGGUGAAAAGCACCCCGGAAGGGGAGUGAAAGAGAUCCUGAAACCGUGUGCCUACAAGUAGUCAGAGCCCGUUAACGGGUGAUGGCGUGCCUUUUGUAGAAUGAACCGGCGAGUUACGAUCCCGUGCAAGGUUAAGCAGAAGAUGCGGAGCCGCAGCGAAAGCGAGUCUGAAUAGGGCGAAUUGAGUACGUGGUCGUAGACCCGAAACCAGGUGAUCUACCCAUGUCCAGGGUGAAGUUCAGGUAACACUGAAUGGAGGCCCGAACCCACGCACGUUGAAAAGUGCGGGGAUGAGGUGUGGGUAGGGGUGAAAUGCCAAUCGAACCUGGAGAUAGCUGGUUCUCUCCGAAAUAGCUUUAGGGCUAGCCUCAAGGUAAGAGUCUCGGAGGUAGAGCACUGAUUGGACUAGGGGCCCCUACCGGGUUACCGAAUUCAGUCAAACUCCGAAUGCCGAUGACUUAUCCUUGGGAGUCAGACUGCGAGUGAUAAGAUCCGUAGUCGAAAGGGAAACAGCCCAGACCGCCAGCUAAGGUCCCAAAGUAUACGUUAAGUGGAAAAGGAUGUGGAGUUGCUUAGACAACCAGGAUGUUGGCUUAGAAGCAGCCACCAUUUAAAGAGUGCGUAAUAGCUCACUGGUCGAGUGACUCUGCGCCGAAAAUGUACCGGGGCUAAACGUAUCACCGAAGCUGCGGACUGUUCUUCGAACAGUGGUAGGAGAGCGUUCUAAGGGCUGUGAAGCAAGACCGGAAGGACUUGUGGAGCGCUUAGAAGUGAGAAUGCCGGUAUGAGUAGCGAAAGAGGGGUGAGAAUCCCCUCCACCGAAUGCCUAAGGUUUCCUGAGGAAGGCUCGUCCGCUCAGGGUUAGUCGGGACCUAAGCCGAGGCCGAAAGGCGUAGGCGAUGGAUAACAGGUUGAUAUUCCUGUACCACCUCCUCACCAUUUGAGCAAUGGGGGGACGCAGGAGGAUAGGGUAAGCGCGGUAUUGGAUAUCCGCGUCCAAGCAGUUAGGCUGGGAAAUAGGCAAAUCCGUUUCCCGUGAAGGCUGAGCUGUGAUGGCGAGCGAAUUAUAGUAGCGAAGUUCCUGAUUCCACACUGCCAAGAAAAGCCUCUAGCGAGGUGAGAGGUGCCCGUACCGCAAACCGACACAGGUAGGCGAGGAGAGAAUCCUAAGGUGAUCGAGAGAACUCUCGUUAAGGAACUCGGCAAAAUGACCCCGUAACUUCGGGAGAAGGGGUGCUCUGUUAGGGUGCAAGCCCGAGAGAGCCGCAGUGAAUAGGCCCAGGCGACUGUUUAGCAAAAACACAGGUCUCUGCGAAGCCGUAAGGCGAAGUAUAGGGGCUGACGCCUGCCCGGUGCUGGAAGGUUAAGAGGAGCGCUUAGCGUAAGCGAAGGUGCGAAUUGAAGCCCCAGUAAACGGCGGCCGUAACUAUAACGGUCCUAAGGUAGCGAAAUUCCUUGUCGGGUAAGUUCCGACCCGCACGAAAGGCGCAACGAUCUGGGCACUGUCUCAACGAGAGACUCGGUGAAAUUAUAGUACCUGUGAAGAUGCAGGUUACCCGCGACAGGACGGAAAGACCCCGUGGAGCUUUACUGCAGCCUGAUAUUGAAUGUUGGUACAGCUUGUACAGGAUAGGUAGGAGCCUUGGAAACCGGAGCGCCAGCUUCGGUGGAGGCAUCGGUGGGAUACUACCCUGGCUGUAUUGACCUUCUAACCCGCCGCCCUUAUCGGGCGGGGAGACAGUGUCAGGUGGGCAGUUUGACUGGGGCGGUCGCCUCCUAAAAGGUAACGGAGGCGCCCAAAGGUUCCCUCAGAAUGGUUGGAAAUCAUUCGCAGAGUGUAAAGGCACAAGGGAGCUUGACUGCGAGACCUACAAGUCGAGCAGGGACGAAAGUCGGGCUUAGUGAUCCGGUGGUUCCGCAUGGAAGGGCCAUCGCUCAACGGAUAAAAGCUACCCCGGGGAUAACAGGCUUAUCUCCCCCAAGAGUCCACAUCGACGGGGAGGUUUGGCACCUCGAUGUCGGCUCAUCGCAUCCUGGGGCUGUAGUCGGUCCCAAGGGUUGGGCUGUUCGCCCAUUAAAGCGGUACGCGAGCUGGGUUCAGAACGUCGUGAGACAGUUCGGUCCCUAUCCGUCGCGGGCGCAGGAAAUUUGAGAGGAGCUGUCCUUAGUACGAGAGGACCGGGAUGGACGCACCGCUGGUGUACCAGUUGUUCUGCCAAGGGCAUCGCUGGGUAGCUAUGUGCGGACGGGAUAAGUGCUGAAAGCAUCUAAGCAUGAAGCCCCCCUCAAGAUGAGAUUUCCCAUUCCGCAAGGAAGUAAGAUCCCUGAAAGAUGAUCAGGUUGAUAGGUCUGAGGUGGAAGUGUGGCGACACAUGGAGCUGACAGAUACUAAUCGAUCGAGGACUUAACCAAUUU